Molecule: ribosomal RNA, 247 nt
Filed under: uncultured bacterium
Lineage: Bacteria
Description: partial 16S ribosomal RNA
Rfam family: Bacterial small subunit ribosomal RNA
Source: RNAcentral
UACAGAGGGUGCGAGCGUUGUCCGGAAUCACUGGGCGUAAAGGGCGCGUAGGUGGCGGCCCAAGUCCAUGGUGAAAGCUCGCCGCUCAACGGCGAGUCGGCCACGGAUACUGGGUUGCUCGAGCACUGGUAGGGGCGAUGGAAUUCCUGGUGUAGCGGUGAAAUGCGCAGAUAUCAGGAGGAACACCGUGCGGAAGGCAGGUCUCUGGGCCACUACUGACGCUGGAGAAGCGAAAGCAUGGGGGAGC